ACCAAAUGGAACAAAAGAGGUUCUGCUACCAGAGCACAGAGAGGAUAGACAAGCAAAAUCAAAAGAUACCCAGUCCAGCUAGUUGUAGAGGUGCAAGCUCUUCACUUACGAAGCCGAGGCCCAUGCCUCAGGAACCAGCAAAAGACCAGGAGCUAAUGGAAUCCAAGAAGAGGCCAGUCCACCCAGUGAUCAUUGGGCUCUCGAUCUCUUCACCAAACUUUGUGCUUCCAUUUCAGCCAUCUCGUGCGACCAGGCAAGUCAUGUAAACGGGCGGUCAGAAGCAAGUCAGCAGGAAGUGCGCUGCGGUGGAUAGGCUUCUCCUGAGGGCUUGCCGGUGCGGGUCUCCCCAGGCACUGUACCAGCCAAACAGAACGCAGCUACAGCUGAAUUUGACUCCAGAUAGACUAUCUCUCGGCGGCCUUACAGCACAUAGUCACAACGUUUAGAGUUUGUUGACCAUUGGGGAUCAACAUGUCCACUGCCUGCUGGGAACUAGCCAGAAUCAGGAGGAGAUGGAAGAGACCCGAUAGAAGUUGAUGAUCUCAGCAGUCCUGUUACUUCAACUGAGGAUGACUGGCAAAUUGCUGAACUUCCCAAGGACAAGCUGAGGACACCAGGCCAACGAGGAACCGAGAUUUUUCCUGAAGGUAUUAAACUAGAGCACUUACAAGUAUAACGAGCCCCAUGACCAACAACUAGGAAUAUGGUGAUCUAGAUGUCACAAUCAAGGUGAAGGUACAAUCGACUAAAACUGUCACUGAAUGAAAUCCAGGUACAUUCUGCAGGUAAGUGGAGGAUGAUUCUGGUUUUUUAUUUAUUCAUUCUUUGUCUUGGUGCCUGUUGAUGGUAUGUUUCAUUCUGUAGUAACAGGUUAAAUGGUUCAGAAACAGCCUGUUUAAGCAGUGACUUGAUGCAGUAUGACUUACCUAUGAUAGUUAUCAAGGGAAAAAACAGCACACUCCUAAAUAAAAGGGACCUGCCACUUAAUUUUUUAUCUUGGAGCAUAGA
Molecule: non-coding RNA, 1008 nt
Organism: Delphinapterus leucas (beluga whale)
Lineage: Eukaryota; Metazoa; Chordata; Mammalia; Artiodactyla; Monodontidae
Source: RefSeq, a predicted model, not a curated record